Molecule: long non-coding RNA, 1521 nt
Filed under: Coturnix japonica (Japanese quail)
Lineage: Eukaryota; Metazoa; Chordata; Aves; Galliformes; Phasianidae
Description: lncRNA (ENSCJPG00005000906.1)
Source: RNAcentral
CAUCAGGAGCCGCAAUAAUCACAGACACAGAGUGAAGUACAGAAGGGAAAUGAACACCAGCUCUCCUGUUUUUUCCCCUCUUGCUUGUACAUCAAGUAUUUAGAUUGUUUGGACAUAAAACCCAUGCUGAAGGAAAGGAAAAACUGGAAAUGGGAUGAAACACACAGGAAUUUGUUCAGGGUAGAUUAUGCCAAAUUAACAUAGUGGCUUUUUCUUUUUCCUGUAAGAUAACUGACCUUUUCAGACAAGUGGUGGUCCCUCCCCUCCCCUCACAGGCUGUUACAGCAGUAGCUGUGGCUCAGGCCUUUGCUGACAUGUUACCUUCCCCCUCAGGUGCCAUGAAUGAGGCAGAAACUCCAGUCAGGAAGCAACAAGGAUAUAACAUCUACUUCUCCAGAACGCCCCAAGCCAGACCUCUAGACAUUAUUUCAACACGUGCUUCCAACAGAGACACAUCGUGCUGGCGGUACGUGCAUCCGCUUAUUCUGCUGAAAACCUUCCCCACACUGGAGGAUAACUAAGCUGGACUGUUGUAAGGCAUCUUCUUCCUGCAAUCACUUUAUCUGCCUAGGAUUUUGUCUAUGGAAAUCACCUCUUAUCUGAGAUAGCCAUACAGACAUCAAGUCUGCAAAUAGCAUUUAAGGACAUGUUUUUAUGGUAGCCACAUCCACCCACAAGAUGCUCCUGUAGUUUCUCAGCAACAGCACAAAUAGCGGCAUGACACUUUCCCAGGCAAUACAGGUGCUUCAUGGGAAGCACUCACACCUGAUGCUGGCACCUGAUGUAACUCUUGCUCUCUGCAUUGUAGAAUCGCUCAGGUUGGAAAAGACCUUAAAGAUCAUUGAGUCCAACCAUGACCUGACCAUACUACCCUAACUAACAACCCUUGGCUAAAUCAUGUCCCUGAGCACCACAUCCAAAUAGUUUUUAGACACAUCCAGGGAUGGUGACUCAACCACCUCCCUGGGCAGCCUAUGCCCUUGUUAAAACCCUUUCUGUAGAGAUGUUUUUCCUUUUACCCAACCUAAACUUACCCUGGCGCAACUUGAGGCCAUUUCCCCUCGUCCUGUCACCAGUGAGAAGAGACCAGCCCAAUCAUGAGUUGUUCUGGCCUCUUGUGGUGUGGCUUACGUGCAAGAGCUGACUGCAUUUCAGAAACCUGUUCAUCUACAGUGCCAGCACAGAGAUGCAGGACUUGCUUUGGAUUUGAACCAGCAUGGCUGAAGGACAGCAAGGCCUUGUACCACUUCAGUCUCUUCAUCCCUGUGUCCUAGAUACAAAGUCUUCUCUUGGUACUCUGCACUUGAGAAACAUCUAACAGAUGGGCUUUCCCGAUAUCUGCUCCAUGCCUUCUGCUCGAGUGGCACAAAAACAAAGUUCCAUCUCAACCUGCGUGUGGCAACUGGGGGAGGAUCCUGGAGGCUGGAGGAAAGCAAAUGCCACUCCUACCUUCAGUAAAGGUGAGGAGGAUCCAGAAACUGUGGGACAGUCAUCCUCACCUCAGUGCCCAGGAUGGUGAUG